UACAGAGGUCCCAAGCGUUGUUCGGAUUCACUGGGCGUAAAGGGUGCGUAGGUGGUGAGGUAAGUCGGAUGUGAAAUCUCCGAGCUCAACUCGGAAAUUGCAUUGGAAUCUACCUUGCUUGAGGGUUGGAGGGGGGACUGGAAUGCUUGGUGUAGCAGUGAAAUGCGUAGAUAUCAAGCGGAACACCAGUGGCGAAGGCGAGUCCCUGGACAACACCUGACACUGAGGCACGAAAGCUAGGGGAGCAAACAGG
This 253-nucleotide ribosomal RNA is filed under the name uncultured bacterium. RNAcentral's name for it is "partial 16S ribosomal RNA". It matches the Rfam family "Bacterial small subunit ribosomal RNA", at positions 524 to 776 of the family's 1533-position model. The record is from RNAcentral.